CGGGACGGGUGAGUAAUGUCUGGGAAACUGCCCGAUGGAGGGGGAUAACUACUGGAAACGGUAGCUAAUACCGCAUAACGUCGCAAGACCAAAGAGGGGGACCUUAGGGCCUCUUGCCAUCGGAUGUGCCCAGAUGGGAUUAGCUAGUAGGUGGGGUAACGGCUCACCUAGGCGACGAUCCCUAGCUGGUCUGAGAGGAUGAUCAGCCACACUGGGACUGAGACACGGUCCAG
Molecule: ribosomal RNA, 233 nt
Filed under: uncultured bacterium
Lineage: Bacteria
Description: partial 16S ribosomal RNA
Rfam family: Bacterial small subunit ribosomal RNA
Source: RNAcentral